This 736-nucleotide ribosomal RNA is filed under the name uncultured Staphylococcus sp. Its description in RNAcentral is "bacterial SSU rRNA". It matches the Rfam family "Bacterial small subunit ribosomal RNA", at positions 62 to 780 of the family's 1533-position model. Lineage: Bacteria; Bacillati; Bacillota; Bacilli; Caryophanales; Staphylococcaceae. The record is from RNAcentral.
UCGAGCGAACAGACGAGGAGCUUGCUCCUCUGACGUUAGCGGCGGACGGGUGAGUAACACGUGGAUAACCUACCUAUAAGACUGGGAUAACUUCGGGAAACCGGAGCUAAUACCGGAUAAUAUAUUGAACCGCAUGGUUCAAUAGUGAAAGACGGUUUUGCUGUCACUUAUAGAUGGAUCCGCGCCGCAUUAGCUAGUUGGUAAGGUAACGGCUUACCAAGGCAACGAUGCGUAGCCGACCUGAGAGGGUGAUCGGCCACACUGGAACUGAGACACGGUCCAGACUCCUACGGGAGGCAGCAGUAGGGAAUCUUCCGCAAUGGGCGAAAGCCUGACGGAGCAACGCCGCGUGAGUGAUGAAGGUCUUCGGAUCGUAAAACUCUGUUAUUAGGGAAGAACAAAUGUGUAAGUAACUAUGCACGUCUUGACGGUACCUAAUCAGAAAGCCACGGCUAACUACGUGCCAGCAGCCGCGGUAAUACGUAGGUGGCAAGCGUUAUCCGGAAUUAUUGGGCGUAAAGCGCGCGUAGGCGGUUUUUUAAGUCUGAUGUGAAAGCCCACGGCUCAACCGUGGAGGGUCAUUGGAAACUGGAAAACUUGAGUGCAGAAGAGGAAAGUGGAAUUCCAUGUGUAGCGGUGAAAUGCGCAGAGAUAUGGAGGAACACCAGUGGCGAAGGCGACUUUCUGGUCUGUAACUGACGCUGAUGUGCGAAAGCGUGGGGAUCAAACAGGAUUA